GCCUCUGUAGCUCAGUUGGUUAGAGCACUGCACCGGAAUCGCAGGGCCGUAGGUUCAAUUCCUACCAGAAGAC
Paramuricea clavata is the source of this 73-nucleotide non-coding RNA. Lineage: Eukaryota; Metazoa; Cnidaria; Anthozoa; Malacalcyonacea; Plexauridae. The record is from the annotation of a GenBank genome assembly.